This 328-nucleotide ribosomal RNA is filed under the name uncultured Desulfocapsa sp. Its description in RNAcentral is "bacterial SSU rRNA". It matches the Rfam family "Bacterial small subunit ribosomal RNA", at positions 1053 to 1382 of the family's 1533-position model. The record is from RNAcentral. Lineage: Bacteria; Pseudomonadati; Thermodesulfobacteriota; Desulfobulbia; Desulfobulbales; Desulfocapsaceae.
CGUCAGCUCGUGUCGUGAGAUGUUGGGUUAAGUCCCGCAACGAGCGCAACCCUUGUCUUUAGUUGCCAUCAUUAAGUUGGGCACUCUAAAGAGACUGCCGGUGUCAAACCGGAGGAAGGUGGGGAUGACGUCAAGUCCUCAUGGCCUUUAUGACCAGGGCUACACACGUACUACAAUGGCAGGUACAAAGGGCAGCCACUUAGCGAUAAGGCGCGAAUCCCGUAAAACCUGUCUCAGUCCGGAUUGGAGUCUGCAACUCGACUCCAUGAAGUUGGAAUCGCUAGUAAUCGCAGAUCAGCACGCUGCGGUCGAAUACGUUCCGGGCCUU